AUGAAAUCUUUGAUUCCAGCACUAGGAUUCUUACCAUCAACAACCUUUCCACUCUUAGAUGACAGUGAAAUCCUCUCAAACACGAACCUUAUCAACUUCAAUAUAGGUCCUCUUCAAAUGGAUACAGGAACAACCACAAAUAACAGAUAUAUUAUGUUUUUAAGCAAAAAUUCAGAAUAUGAGAAUAGAAAAAACAUAAUGAUAAGAAAAGCAAGCAAACACACCAAAUUAACAACAAGCAUCACAUAUAGUACUAUACAAAAUCAAGAACAACAACAACAACAACCAAGUCUUCUUUAUCCCACUAAGUAG
Molecule: non-coding RNA, 312 nt
Organism: Vicia faba (fava bean)
Lineage: Eukaryota; Viridiplantae; Streptophyta; Magnoliopsida; Fabales; Fabaceae
Source: the annotation of a GenBank genome assembly